Non-coding RNA from Mycena crocata, 85 nucleotides. NCBI's taxonomy places the organism in Eukaryota, Fungi, Basidiomycota, Agaricomycetes, Agaricales, Mycenaceae. The record is from the annotation of a GenBank genome assembly.
UCGGACAUGGUGUACGGAACACUGCCCUUCUGCAGAAAAUAUAAGUAGCAAGGGGUAGUUUGGGGUUCGACUCCCCGUGUCCGAA